Molecule: unclassified non-coding RNA, 375 nt
Filed under: fungal sp.
Lineage: Eukaryota; Fungi
Description: partial internal transcribed spacer region
Rfam family: Eukaryotic small subunit ribosomal RNA (bases 1-46)
Source: RNAcentral
AAGUCGGAACAAGGUUUCCGUAGGUGAACCUGCGGAAGGAUCAUGAACACGUAUCCAACGUUAAACCCCCUGUGAACCUUCAUUGUACGAGUUACAUCCACGUCAUAAACCGGCAAUCUCUGGUAAAUCAUCGCCGAACAGUUUUGAUUCAGAGACCUCUGGGAAGGGUGUACGGUAGUGCGAGGCAAUUGACCUGGCUUGUUAGUGCUCUGAAAGUGUCACUAGCUAUGUACGGAUGGCGGCCGACACGGCCGGCGACCAGGUCACUGGGCUACGGCCCCCCUGAUCACAACCUUUGCAUGAAAACGGGCCUGCGCUGAGGUGCGGCCACCCCUAAUGCUUGAACAACUGUUAACAAUGGAUAUCUUGGUUCUC